This 500-nucleotide ribosomal RNA is filed under the name uncultured bacterium. RNAcentral describes it as "bacterial SSU rRNA". It matches the Rfam family "Bacterial small subunit ribosomal RNA", at positions 999 to 1512 of the family's 1533-position model. The record is from RNAcentral.
AAGCGAAAGCAGACCGACCCUUCGGGGAGCUUGCACAGGUGCUGCAUGGCUGUCGUCAGCUCGUGUCGUGAGAUGUUCGGUUAAGUCCGCUAACGAGCGCAACCCUCGCUGUGUGUUACAAGUGUCACACGGGACUGCCGGUCUUAAGCCGGAGGAAGGUGGGGAUGACGUCAAGUCAGCAUGGCCUUUAUGUCCUGGGCUACACACACGCUACAAUGGCCAACACAAUAGGUAGCGAAGCCGCGAGGCGGAGCCAAUCCUGAAAGCUGGUCUCAGUUCAGAUUGCAGGCUGCAACCCGCCUGCAUGAAGACGGAGUUGCUAGUAACCGCAGGUCAGCUAUACUGCGGUGAAUACGUUCCCGGGCCUUGUACACACCGCCCGUCACGUCAUGGGAGCUGGCAACACCUGAAGCCGGUAUCCUAACCCGCAAGGGAGGGAGCCGUCGAGGGUGGGGUCGGUGACUGGGACGAAGUCGUAACAAGGUAGGUGUACCGGAAGG